UCAACGUCGUUGUUGUUGUCGCUUGUAAAAGUGUCAGUUUUUCUGCUCGCUGGAAUUCGAUUUGCAAGGAUUAGUUUUUAAAAUUUUUUUUUGUGGACUGAAAAGCAGAGCAGCAGAAAAAUAUCGGUUGUUGAGAAAAAUGUACGUUCUGUCACAUCCACCCCACUUGAAAAACAUGCAAUAGGAGCAACAACUUAAUUCGACAAAUUAGUGGCGCAGUAUACACACUCAAACACACACUCUGUUACACUUACACAACUCGCAACUCCUAACUUUCAACUCGCAACUCCUAACUCGUAACUCGUAACUCGCAACUCCACCGAGUUCAUUUAUCUAAGUUAACAGACAAGUGCAGAAAAAAUAUACAAUUCAAUUAAUAUAGUCGGAAAGUGGUAAGUGGUAAGUGGUAAGUGACAAGACAAAGGAAAGGAAGGAAGGAAGGACAUUUUAAUAGAGUCUAAAAAUAAUUUGCUUACGCGUCGAGUCAAUUUAAUUAAAUCAGUUUCGGAAAGUUUAUAAACAUAACAAAAUACCAACGAAGUUAUGAGUUGUGUGUACUGAAAAAGCGCUGACUUCAUCGUCCACAUGGUGGACAAGUUUCAAAGACGUACACUUUUGACAACACCAACAACACCCUCAGCUACUCCUAAAGCAUGAUAAAGUAGAGGGAACGGAUUUACACUGCAGGACAUUUUA
Long non-coding RNA from Teleopsis dalmanni, 696 nucleotides. RefSeq lists it as uncharacterized. Lineage: Eukaryota; Metazoa; Arthropoda; Insecta; Diptera; Diopsidae. The record is from RefSeq and is a predicted model, not a curated record. The transcript is spliced from 3 exons.